This 481-nucleotide ribosomal RNA is filed under the name uncultured bacterium. RNAcentral describes it as "bacterial SSU rRNA". It matches the Rfam family "Bacterial small subunit ribosomal RNA", at positions 339 to 815 of the family's 1533-position model. The record is from RNAcentral.
CUACGGGAGGCAGCAGUGAGGAAUAUUGGUCAAUGGGCGAGAGCCUGAACCAGCCAAGUAGCGUGCAGGAUGACGGCCCUAUGGGUUGUAAACUGCUUUUAUAAGGGAAUAAAGUGAGCCUCGUGAGGCUUUUUGCAUGUACCUUAUGAAUAAGGACCGGCUAAUUCCGUGCACAGAAACCGCGGUAAUACGAAAGAGACCGGGCGUUAUCCGGAUUUAUUGGGUUUAAAGGGAGCGUAGGCCGGAGAUUAAGCGUGUUGUGAAAUGUAGAUGCUCAACAUCUGCACUGCAGCGCGAACUGGUUUCCUUGAGUACGCACAAAGUGGGCGGAAUUCGUAGUGUAGCGGUGAAAUGCUUAGAUAUCACGAAGAACUCCGAUUGCGAAGGCAGCUCACUGGAGCGCAACUGACGCUGAAGCACGAAAGUGCGGGUAUCGAACAGGAUUAGAUACCCUGGUAGUCCGCACGGUAAACGAUGGAUG